CAUUACAAGAAGGUGAUCAUCCAACUAGAUCAGGAAGCAUUUCCCUUUUCAAUGUCGAUUUGGGAAAAGUCGAUUUGCUUUACAGAUUGAAGACAGCUGGUAUCUUUGAUAUGAAAUGGAACCCAGUGAACACAACAACAACAACAGCAACACGUCCAUUGCUUGCUCAAGCCGAUGCUGAUGGUUUCCUGAAGAUUCAUCACUUACAAAGCUCCAUUAAUGGUACGUUAAAUUGAUAUAAUCAAAUGCUAAAUGCUAUAUGUAAUUGAUGAAUAAUUGAUAUGUAGGGAAUGAUUUGAAAGAGGUAAGUAGCGAAAAACUUAGCUCCUGUAUGUGUCUAUGCUUGGAUUGGAACCCUUCAGCCACAUCGAUCUCAGUAGGCCAUUCAGAUGGAUCGAUCUCACUAACUGCAUUUCAAGAAACCAAAACAAUCACAUUACAACAAUGGAAAGCACAUGAUUAUGAAGUCUGGGCUACAACUUUCGAUCCAGACCAACCAAAUUUGGUCUAUACCGGUUCAGACGAUUGCAAAUUCAAGGGCUGGGAUUUACGAAACAGUCCUUCCUCCACAACAUUUCAAAAUUCAAAAUCCCAUCAAAUGGGUGUUUGUUGUAUUUCAAAAUCCCCCCAUAACCCCUACACUCUAUUCACUGGAAGCUAUGAUGAACAAUUAAGAAUAUGGGAUGUGAGGUCACUUACAAGGCCUGUGAUUGAGGCAUCGAUUGGUUUAGGAGGUGGAGUUUGGAGAAUUAAGAAUCAUUCUGUUGUUCCUGGAUUAAUCCUUGCAGCUUGUAUGCACAAUGGGUUUGCUAUUGUUAAAGUCAACGGGAGUCAAGAAGUCAAAGUAG
This 848-nucleotide long non-coding RNA is filed under the name Lactuca sativa (garden lettuce). RNAcentral's name for it is "long non-coding RNA (LSAT_LNC003754)". The record is from RNAcentral. Lineage: Eukaryota; Viridiplantae; Streptophyta; Magnoliopsida; Asterales; Asteraceae.